Astyanax mexicanus (Mexican tetra) is the source of this 1206-nucleotide long non-coding RNA. RefSeq lists it as uncharacterized. Lineage: Eukaryota; Metazoa; Chordata; Actinopteri; Characiformes; Acestrorhamphidae. The transcript has 3 exons. The record is from RefSeq and is a predicted model, not a curated record.
ACAAUGCUCAUCCAUACACUGCUGCCAUCUUAAGACUUUGAAGCUUUGAAGACACAGUAUGGUAUUCCAUAUCCAUACGCAUCACCUGAAAGUUGCUGUUGGAUCCCCAAAUACCACAAAGUCUGCAUGACCUGCGUCAAUAUUUCAGCUGCAUUGGAUGCACCAAUGUAGGACACUGUUAGGAACAUCUGCAGGACGACCAACGAACCUGCAUAUGAAGGAACUAUGGUCAGCACCAAGAUUACUCAGCACUAAGUUCCCGUCCCUCUAAACAGAGUGAGGAUGAUAUGGAUAAGACCCAGCUUGGGCUGGCUGCACUGAGACAGGCCCUGAGGUCAACUUAUGGUUGUAAUAUUCUCCUCACAUGAAAUCAAUGUCUGCGUGCCUGUCCUGUCUCAUCCUCUCCACUGGAAUCCAAUUUUCUCGAACCCUGCACUGCACGAGCGCCGAGCAAAGCAAGGCCCCCUCCACCAACAGCAUGUGCUGAGCUUUGGGCUUUGGCACUGGGCCGAACGGGGGUUUCUCACCGAGCCUGUACAGCUCCCUUGGGCUUCCCUGCAGGUUAAAUGAGGAUUAUUUUUAGUCUCUACCCUUAAGUACCCUAAUGACUAAUAGCCUGAUGACUUUUAAGUGGAUACCUCAGGCCACUAGUGACGCGUAACCUCAUUACUCCCCUUUACCGCACCCUUUUUUCCAGAUACGUGACAAUUUUUUAUUUAUCACUUUGUUGUUGCCAGUGUAAUGUUUUUUGACACUUUGUUCUUGUAAUUUUGCACUUUUGUACAUGAUGUUAGAAGAUUUGUGUUGGUAAGCAUGAAAUGUGUGUGUGUGUGUGUGUGUGUGUGUGUGUAUUGUAUUCUCAUGCAGUUAAAGGAACAGAAAAUAAUACUGUAUUGUUUUUCAAUCUAAUCUUAAACUACCUUAUCUCUAGUGUACAGUCAAUUUUCAUGGACAGUAUUUUCCCUUUAGUUAUAAGUAAACAGAAAACCCAUAAAUCUCAGCAGUCUCUCAGUUGACUUCUGUUAAUAACAAUAAGAUUGACAACAGGUCUUUUACUAAGAUCAGAUAAAUGAAUAAAGUUAAUUAUAUACUGUAAUUACACAUGUGCAUCCACUUUAGCUUUGGGACCCAUACUUCUGUAUGUACUACAGUGACCAUGUAAUGACAGUGCCUAGAUGCUGAUGUUUCAUAGAUCUAGAGAAGACC